CAGUAGCCGCGGUAAAACGAAGGUCCCGAGCGUUGUUCGGAAUCACUGGGCGUAAAGGGAGCGUAGGCGGCGUGGUAAGUCAGAUGUGAAGUCCCGGGGCUCAACCCCGGAACUGCAUCCGAUACUGCCAUGCUAGAGGAUUGGAGAGGUAGCUGGAAUUCUUGGUGUAGCAGUAAAAUGCGUGGAGAUCAAGAGGAACACUCGUGGCGAAAGCGAGCUACUGGACAAUAACUGACGCUGAGGCUCGAAGGCCAGGGUAGCGAAAGGGAUUAGAUACCCCCGUAGUCCCUGUCUCUUAUAC
This 301-nucleotide ribosomal RNA is filed under the name uncultured bacterium. Its description in RNAcentral is "partial 16S ribosomal RNA". It matches the Rfam family "Bacterial small subunit ribosomal RNA", at positions 509 to 807 of the family's 1533-position model. The record is from RNAcentral.